RNAcentral lists this non-coding RNA (30 nucleotides) under Rattus norvegicus (Norway rat). The record is from RNAcentral. Lineage: Eukaryota; Metazoa; Chordata; Mammalia; Rodentia; Muridae.
UUUUGUUGCACGCUGCCAUAUAUACCCUGC